This 808-nucleotide ribosomal RNA is filed under the name uncultured Bacillota bacterium. RNAcentral describes it as "bacterial SSU rRNA". It matches the Rfam family "Bacterial small subunit ribosomal RNA", at positions 119 to 930 of the family's 1533-position model. Lineage: Bacteria; Bacillati; Bacillota. The record is from RNAcentral.
GGGUAAUCUGCCCUUCGAUGGGGAAUAACUCGCCGAAAGGCGAGCUAAUUCCGCAUAACAUUCCUUGAACCUCGGUUUGGGGACUCAAAGCCGUAAGGCGUCGGAGGAGGAACCCGCGCACGAUUAGCUAGUUGGUAGGGUAACGGCCUACCAAGGCUUUGAUCGUUAGCUGGUCUGAGAGGAUGGCCAGCCACACUGGAACUGAGACACGGUCCAGACUCCUACGGGAGGCAGCAGUGGGGAAUCUUGCACAAUGGGCGAAAGCCUGAUGCAGCGACGCCGCGUGGGGGAUGAAGCUUUUCGGAGUGUAAACCCCUUUCGACCCGGACGAAUGCCCCGCAAGGGGACUAACGGUACGGGUAUAAGAAGCCCCGGCUAACUACGUGCCAGCAGCCGCGGUAAGACGUGGGGGGCCAGCGUUGCUCGGAAUUACUGGGUGUAAAGGGUUCGUAGGCGGUGUAGCAAGUCGGGAGUGAAAUCUCUGGGCUCAACCCAGAGACUGCUUCCGAAACUGCUGUGCUUGAGUGUGGGAGAGGCGCGUGGAAUUGCAGGUGUAGCGGUGAAAUGCGUAGAUAUCUGCAGGAACACCCGUGGCGAAAGCGGCGCGCUGGACCACUACUGACGCUGAGGAACGAAAGCUAGGGGAGCAAACAGGAUUAGAUACCCUGGUAGUCCUAGCCCUAAACGAUCAGGACUUGGGGUGCCGCACGUUCGUGCGUCGUCCCGGAGCUAACGCGUUAAGUCCUGCACCUGGGGAGUACGGUCGCAAGACUGAAACUCAAAGGAAUUGACGGGGGCCCGCACAAGC